CUUGAUUACAAUAAUAUUGAGAGUAGUUUAAUCUAUCCCUCAACAAUGAAGUUGUGCGAUCCGAGUCAAACGACGGAGCCCGUUUCCUUUCCUUGACAGCCUUGCAUGACGCUUUGCGUCCUUCACCUUAGGAACACAUGAAUGGCUGUGUUGUUCGAACAAAUCUGAUUCGAUCUUUCAUAGGCGUGUAGGCAGGUUGCAAUUGAGGUGCACAUGGACCGGCUCAUAACUUAUUCAUUGACACUUUCUUCCUCCGGUUACCAUAUCAACAUGAUGAGGAGCAAAGGCAGCCACCAUUCAGUUCUC
RNAcentral lists this long non-coding RNA (306 nucleotides) under Setaria viridis. RNAcentral describes it as "long non-coding RNA (SVIR_LNC010168)". Lineage: Eukaryota; Viridiplantae; Streptophyta; Magnoliopsida; Poales; Poaceae. The record is from RNAcentral.